This 88-nucleotide ribosomal RNA is filed under the name Arsukibacterium tuosuense. The record is from RNAcentral. Lineage: Bacteria; Pseudomonadati; Pseudomonadota; Gammaproteobacteria; Chromatiales; Chromatiaceae.
CCUGAUCCCAUUCCGAACUCAGAAGUGAAACGCAGCUGCGACGAUGGUAGUGUGGCAUUCGCCAUGCGAGAGUAGUACACCGCCAGGC